UCCUUGGUGGUCCAACGGCUAGGAUUGCCCGCUUUCACUAUUCUGCAUUUUCAGAUGUGUACCGGGCCGGCCCGGGUUCGACUCCCGGCCAGGGAA
This is a non-coding RNA of Fomitiporia mediterranea MF3/22, 96 nucleotides long. NCBI's taxonomy places the organism in Eukaryota, Fungi, Basidiomycota, Agaricomycetes, Hymenochaetales, Hymenochaetaceae. The record is from the annotation of a RefSeq genome assembly.